UUUUUCUUGCAGAUCUGUCCUCUUCUUUCGCCGGCUGCGGUGGCCAACUGCGGGCUGUUCUGGAGGAAUCUCCGGUGUCGAUGGCGAGGAAGAGAUCGGGGAGGUAGGGAGGCGGCUGAUCUAUCGGUGCUGCUUCGCCGUUGCUGGUGACCGUCUGCUAAGGGAGAAGAAGACGUUGUUGAUGGCGCUGCUAUUCGGGCGCCCGCUGGGAGAGGAAACCGAAGGGAGGAGCAGCGGCUUGUGUUGAUGGAGACGAACUGCCGCUGAGAGGGAAGAGCUGGAAACGGUGGAGGAGAAAUGGAGAGUUGCGGUGGCUUGGGGGGGGUGAAGAAGAUGGUGGAACCGGCUGUGUUUGGGUCCGGUGAGGGAGAAGAAAACGAAAUCCAAGGGAAGGUUUCGGAAAGAAAAGCUGGAAAAAUGGGAGCCAAAUCUUGGCCGGCGGCUGGAGAAAUCAAAACCAGCGGGGGGAGGGG
RNAcentral lists this long non-coding RNA (473 nucleotides) under Populus tremula. Its description in RNAcentral is "long non-coding RNA (PTRE_LNC002392)". The record is from RNAcentral. Lineage: Eukaryota; Viridiplantae; Streptophyta; Magnoliopsida; Malpighiales; Salicaceae.